This 403-nucleotide ribosomal RNA is filed under the name bacterium. RNAcentral's name for it is "partial 16S ribosomal RNA". It matches the Rfam family "Bacterial small subunit ribosomal RNA", at positions 355 to 776 of the family's 1533-position model. RNAcentral also lists the same sequence under 1 other name. The record is from RNAcentral.
UGGGGAAUAUUGCACAAUGGAGGGAACUCUGAUGCAGCGACGCCGCGUGAACGAAGAAGGCUUUCGAGUCGUAAAGUUCCUUUAUAUGGGAAGAUAAUGACGGUACCAUAAGAAGAAGCCCCGGCUAACUACGUGCCAGCAGCCGCGGUAAUACGUAGGGGGCUAGCGUUGUCCGGAAUCACUGGGCGUAAAGGGUUCGCAGGCGGAAAUGCAAGUCAGGUGUAAAAGGCAGUAGCUUAACUACUGUAAGCAUUUGAAACUGCAUAUCUUGAGAAGAGUAGAGGUAAGUGGAAUUUUUAGUGUAGCGGUGAAAUGCGUAGAUAUUAAAAAGAAUACCGGUGGCGAAGGCGACUUACUGGGCUCAUUCUGACGCUGAGGAACGAAAGCGUGGGUAGCAAACAGG